UAUCCCUUUCAUCUUGAAAUCUCCUUGGUCACUGAUUGCAACGUGCACAUCACACAACAUUGUGGUUUCCAUACAGCAUUUUCCUUUGUGAGCUGCCCAUGCAAAUCUAGCGUGCACAAAGCUUAUCUUUCCAUGGUGAAGUCACUCUGUAGUAACAAACACACGGCACAAACUCUUUCCCUACAGGCUUGUGAGAAACAUGUCCCAGCAAGCAUCUGUCCAUUAAAGUAGACACCACUUAAAGACAAUGAGGUGGACGUUUCGACCCUUGCAGAAAAGUGAUCACUCAGUGUGGGGUUUUUCAGUGAACGACUCUUAACUUCGAACAUUUAGUUGCAUCCUUUCCAUCAAGUACCUCCCUUUGUGCCACUCUCUCAUGUUUUCUCUUCCCUCCACAGAGAGGAAUUUUCUUUAGAGCAGGCGUUGUAUGCAGCUCCUCCCGUCGGACUUAAGAAAGCCAUCAUCAUCACACAAGAAAUAGUGGACGGAGAAGUGGUCUCUCAGAGGGAACUUGAGCAAAAUCCUAAUCACAAUGACCUGGAAGUUUCUGGGGAGGAUCAGGAGUUGACAGAACAACUGGAGCUAGCAGUGGAAGAGGCAAAAGCAGAGGAAGAGAACGUAGCAGAACAACUGGAGCUAGCGGUGGAAAAGGUGAAAGCAGAGGAAGAGAAAGUAGCAGAACAACUGGAGCUAGUGGUGGAAAAGGUGAAAGCAGAGGAAGAGAAAGUAGCAGAGCAACUGGAGCUAGCGGUGGAAAAGGUGAAAGCAGAGGAAGAGAAAGUAGCAGAACAACUGGAGCUAGCGGUGGAAAAGGUGAAAGCAGAGGAAGAG
Sinocyclocheilus rhinocerous is the source of this 831-nucleotide long non-coding RNA. RefSeq lists it as uncharacterized. NCBI's taxonomy places the organism in Eukaryota, Metazoa, Chordata, Actinopteri, Cypriniformes, Cyprinidae. The transcript has 2 exons. The record is from RefSeq and is a predicted model, not a curated record.